GGAGAGAUGGCUCAGUGGUUAAGAGCACUGACUGCUCUUCCAGAGGACCUGGGUUCAAGUCCCAGCCCCCAUG
This 73-nucleotide transfer RNA is filed under the name Mus musculus (house mouse). RNAcentral's name for it is "tRNA-Ser". It matches the Rfam family "tRNA". Rfam says of the family: Transfer RNA (tRNA) molecules are approximately 80 nucleotides in length. The record is from RNAcentral. Lineage: Eukaryota; Metazoa; Chordata; Mammalia; Rodentia; Muridae.